CUCCGCCAGCAUCGCCACCACCACUGACACCGCUCCGAGUCUCCAGUUGCGCCCAUGCCUGUGCCGCCAGUUUCGGUUUAGGGGCUGAACCGCAGGGGCUGAAGAAAAUGGGGCAGAGCGCGCCCCGGACCCUCCUGCUGCUGCUGGCGGGGCUGCUGGGGGAGGCUCUGGCGGGGUUCCCCAACACCAUCAGUAUAGGUGGACUUUUCAUGAGGAACACUGUUCAGGAGCACAGUGCGUUUCGAUUUGCUGUGCAGUUAUACAACACAAACCAAAAUACCACAGAAAAGCCCUUCCAUUUGAACUAUCAUGUAGAUCACUUGGACUCUUCCAACAGCUUUUCAGUGACAAAUGCUUUCUGUUCACAGUUUUCCAGAGGAGUUUAUGCCAUCUUUGGAUUCUAUGACCAGAUGUCAAUGAACACACUGACGUCAUUUUGUGGAGCCCUUCACACAUCCUUCAUCACACCCAGCUUCCCAACAGAUGCAGAUGUGCAGUUUGUCAUCCAGAUGAGGCCAGCGUUAAAAGGAGCCAUCUUGAGUCUCUUGACUUAUUAUAAGUGGGAAAAGUUUGUGUACCUCUAUGACACAGAACGGGGAUUUUCUAUUCUUCAGGCGAUUAUGGAAGCAGCAGUACAGAACAACUGGCAAGUGACAGCCAGAUCUGUAGGAAGCAUAAAGGAUGUUCAAGAGUUCAGAAGAAUUAUAGAGGAGAUGGACAGACGACAAGAAAAAAGAUACUUAAUUGACUGUGAAGUAGACAGAAUCAACACCAUUUUGGAACAGGUUGUAGUCCUCGGCAAACAUUCUAGAGGCUAUCACUACAUGUUAGCUAACCUGGGUUUCACAGACAUUGUUCUGGAGAGAGUAAUGCAUGGAGGUGCCAACAUUACUGGAUUCCAGAUUGUUAAUAAUGAAAACCCAAUGGUUCAACAAUUUCUACAGCGCUGGGUGAGGCUUGAUGAAAGGGAAUUCCCUGAAGCUAAAAACUCACCAUUAAAGUACACAUCUGCACUGACCCACGAUGCAGUCCUGGUCAUAGCAGAGGCUUUCCGUUACCUCCGAAGACAGCGUGUGGAUGUCUCCAGGAGAGGCAGUGCUGGAGACUGCCUGGCUAACCCUGCAGUACCAUGGAGCCAAGGAAUUGAUAUAGAAAGAGCGCUGAAAAUGGUGCAAGUACAAGGAAUGACAGGGAACAUCCAGUUCGACACCUAUGGGCGGAGGAUGAAUUACACCAUUGAUGUGUAUGAAAUGAAAGCUGGUGGGUCACGGAAGGCUGGUUAUUGGAAUGAAUAUGAAAGAUUUGUGCCAGCAUUAGAUCAGCUCCCCUCUAAUGACAGCUCAUCUGUGGAGAACAGAACUAUAGUAGUCACUACCAUCUUGGAAUCACCAUAUGUAAUGUAUAAGAAAAACCAUGAACAACUAGAAGGGAAUGAGAGAUAUGAAGGCUAUUGUGUAGACUUAGCUUCUGAAAUAGCAAAACAUGUUGGAAUAAAAUACAAACUGUCAAUUGUUGGAGAUGGGAAAUAUGGAGCUAGGGACCCUGAGACUAAGAUAUGGAAUGGCAUGGUGGGUGAACUGGUCUAUGGGAGAGCAGAUAUAGCUGUUGCCCCCCUCACCAUAACACUGGUGCGAGAAGAAGUCAUAGACUUUUCCAAACCCUUUAUGAGCCUGGGCAUCUCCAUCAUGAUCAAGAAGCCUCAGAAAUCUAAACCGGGCGUAUUCUCUUUCCUGGAUCCUUUGGCUUAUGAAAUUUGGAUGUGUAUAGUCUUUGCUUACAUUGGCGUCAGCGUAGUUCUUUUCCUAGUCAGCAGAUUCAGCCCUUAUGAAUGGCACUUGGAAGACAGCACUGAAGAACCACGUGACCCUCAGAAUCCUCCUGACCCUCCAAAUGAGUUUGGAAUAUUUAACAGCCUUUGGUUUUCCCUGGGUGCCUUUAUGCAGCAAGGAUGCGAUAUUUCUCCAAGAUCUCUCUCAGGGCGAAUUGUCGGAGGAGUCUGGUGGUUCUUCACUCUCAUCAUUAUCUCUUCCUACACUGCUAAUCUCGCUGCCUUCCUUACGGUGGAAAGGAUGGUUUCACCCAUAGAGAGCGCAGAGGACCUGGCUAAACAAACCGAAAUAGCCUAUGGCACUUUGGAUUCAGGUUCAACCAAAGAAUUCUUUAGAAGGUCAAAAAUAGCUGUCUACGAGAAAAUGUGGUCGUACAUGAAGUCGGCCGAGCCUUCGGUGUUCACCAAAACGACGGCGGACGGGGUGGCGAGGGUGCGGAAGUCCAAGGGGAAGUUUGCCUUCCUGCUGGAGUCGACGAUGAACGAGUACAUCGAGCAGCGCAAGCCCUGCGACACCAUGAAAGUUGGAGGCAACCUGGAUUCCAAGGGCUAUGGUGUAGCAACCCCCAAAGGCUCAGCAUUAAGAAAUGCUGUUAACCUGGCAGUAUUAAAACUGAAUGAGCAAGGCCUCUUGGACAAAUUGAAAAACAAAUGGUGGUACGACAAAGGAGAGUGCGGCAGCGGGGGAGGUGACUCCAAGAACUCCUGUAAACCUUGCAGUAUUGAAACUCAGUGAACAAGGCAUCUUAGACAAGCUGAAAAACAAAUGGUGGUACGAUAAGGGUGAAUGUGGAGCCAAGGACUCCGGAAGUAAGGUCAGUCGCUGAAGGUCUUUUUGUACUGAUUAGCAAUCACAUUUUGACCCACUGUUUGUUUAUACCAAGAAUGACUUUCAGAAGUUGCUAUUUACAUUUUGAAGGUUGAAAGAAAAAGACUAGAAAAAAUAAUUUAAGUCUCAGAACAUGACAGCAUUUUUCUUAUAUGCAGUAGCAGACUGUAGUUGUAAGUAUGUUUUACUGUGUGAGUAUUUUGCUAGAAAAACAUGCAGAGAGAAGCCCCCAAAGUCUCCCAAGGUGGUGUUUUCAAUUAAAUGCACAAAUUUUAGCACAGUCAUUUUGUAUUAUUCAGGCCAGCAUCUUUUCUUAUUUUUAGUUUUAUUGAAAAAACACAUUUUUGUUUCAAAAUUAUGACUUAGCUUCUCUACAUGUCAGUUUGGGAGACAGUCACAUGCUUGCUAAGGAUGUAAAUUUUCAGGACAGACCAUUGAUAAGGAAAAAACUCCUCUCCCACCUUGUUUCCCAAUUCAGUCUGAAAUUGGUUGGAUUUUUUUAAAAAAAAUCUAGAAGUCCCAAUGGUGAGUCAUUACCUAAAUGUUGUAUAUUCCUUUUUAUAUUGCUUUGAACCAUUUUGCUGCUGUACUACCCUGUUGCCCACCAGCUGUGCUGUGGGGCUGGCCAGCCUCAUGUGGAACCACUGUAGUCUCCAGGGGAGAUCACGCUCCUGAGGUGGAUCACCCCUUAAGUUGCAGGAAAUAUUUAUUUACACCAUUCAGUUAAAAGAAAACACAGAGGGUUUUUUUUUCUUAAUGCUUAUAGACCCAUUGGGGAGAAAAACCCUGUAAAAGUGCUGGGCUUGUUGGAGUGAAGGACAUUUUCAAAGGCACUAAGAGGAGGAGAAAUCCAGCUCCAGCUGAAAUCGGUCGCAGUUGAGUGCCUAACUCCCCUGGUGCCUUUGGAAGUGCUCUCUGUAAUCAUUCAAACAGAAAACUGUAAUUUCAAAGCACCCUCUCAGUGUCGGAGGACAAUUUCAAGUUCCAGCGAAGCCAGUAAUAAAAUUUCAUUGAUUUCAGUUGGACUGAAAGUUGCUUAGGGCACAACCCUGUAGCUGUUGUAUGAGAUAAAUUUGGGAUCAUGGGAUAUGUGAACACACAGCAGCUGCAGAAGGGAAGUGCAAUUGGAAAGAGGUAUAAAUGAGUAAGAUCUUUAGUUUACAUGGCAGGCUGUUUGUUACAACUGCAUGUAUCCAAAUUGCUCGUGAAAUGCACAGACACUUGCAAGGUAGACCCUAUUUUAUUCCGACUAUAUGCGAAUUUUUCCCUCCUUGGAGAGACUUGUUAACCAAGCUCUGUCAGCAAGUGUCUUCUCUGGGCACAACCAGGUUGCUCUGGCACGUGCCUGUCCAUCCCAGAGUGGUGUGGUGUGGUGUGCCAGCCCAGCCAGGGCCGUGCCAGCCGCCCUUCCUGCCCACAGCCAACCCGCCUGCCCAUGCAGCAGCAAAAUGGUUGCAGCUCUAUUUAUUCUGAUUACAGAAUCCUGUUCUUAGAAAUGCAAGCUUCUCCCCCAUCUGACAUGUAUUGAAGGAAGGUAAACCCUGGCCAGUGAUUUUUGGUUUACAAUGUCUGUUUUUAUUCAAUAACUCAGUCUCCCAGAGGUGCUAGUUUAGCUCAGGACUCUGCUGCUUGACGUCUAAGUAACUGACCAUCUUCCUAGGGUGUUGGGUUUUUUUUAAUAUUGAAAAAAAAUGUAAAUAAAUUUAGCAGCAUCUCAACAAUUUUACCUACAUUCACCAGAAGCAAGUGUGCAGUGGUUUGGCUUUUUCUUGUUCUGGUUUUGUCACGGCCUUUUCUAAAACCCACUGUUUUACUCAGCCACUGCUUUCCCCGGCACAGCUUUCCCGCAGUGCCUUUGCCACCAGGGAUGCUCGGCCAUAGGCAGGUUUGCUCUGGGACACCAAAGGCCUGGGACAGUCAGUGGCCAAAAAUAUCUCAUCGCCUUGGAAUCAGCCAGGGCUUCACCCGCCACAGGGUGGAAGGCAGAGCAGUGACUGCUGUGCAGCCCCAGGCUGCGGGGAUGGGGGGACAGCACUGGUCCGUGAGCCGGACACCAAACACCACGAGUGCAGCUAUUCCUGCUAGGACUAAGUACAAAGUAACUUGUCUGUCUGCCCGUCUGCUUCUCACAGCCAAGCUAACAGCGUCGCUCGUUUCUCUUAGGACAAGACGAGCGCUCUGAGCCUGAGCAAUGUUGCUGGGGUGUUCUAUAUCCUUGUGGGAGGCCUGGGGCUGGCCAUGAUGGUGGCACUGAUCGAGUUCUGCUACAAGUCUCGGGCCGAGUCCAAGCGAAUGAAACUCACCAAGAACACGCAGAACUUCAAACCUGCUCCCGCCACCAACACCCAGAAUUACGCUACCUACAGAGAAGGCUACAACGUGUACGGCACAGAAAGUGUGAAAAUCUAGGGAUCCUCACCCUGACAGCAUGCAAGAGGAAAAGCAGUAGAGAAUGUGGCUACUUCAUGGAUUUGGACCACCUGAGCCAGUCGUACUCUCUCCGAGGUGUCAGGCAUGACACGCGUUGAUGAUGGUGCAAUGUACUUUUAAUAGGAAAAACUGAUUUUUUUUUUCCUUCAGUGCCUUAUGGAAGACUCUGAGACUCACAACAAUGCAAACCAUCACUGAAAUAUUCUUGCUUUGCUUGAAAGAAGUAAAAGAAAAUAAGAGAGGAAAAUGAAAGAAAAAGAAAA
Pipra filicauda (Wire-tailed manakin) is the source of this 5350-nucleotide RNA transcript. It is a transcript of the gene named glutamate ionotropic receptor AMPA type subunit 3, with no coding region annotated. The record is from RefSeq and is a predicted model, not a curated record. The transcript is spliced from 16 exons. NCBI's taxonomy places the organism in Eukaryota, Metazoa, Chordata, Aves, Passeriformes, Pipridae.